Molecule: ribosomal RNA, 253 nt
Filed under: uncultured bacterium
Lineage: Bacteria
Description: partial 16S ribosomal RNA
Rfam family: Bacterial small subunit ribosomal RNA
Source: RNAcentral
UACGUAGGUGGCGAGCGUUGUCCGGAUUUACUGGGCGUAAAGAGCGCGCAGGCGGUCGUUCAAGUCGCGUGUGAAAGCCCCCGGCUUAACUGGGGAGGGUCACGCGAUACUGAUCGACUCGAAGGCAGGAGAGGGUAGUGGAAUUCCCGGUGUAGUGGUGAAAUGCGUAGAUAUCAGGAGGAACACCAGUGGCGAAGGCGACUACCUGGCCUGUUCUUGACGCUGAGGCGCGAAAGCUAGGGGAGCAAACGGG